AUGACCAUUUCUGGAUGCCCCCGGCCAAUUCCCACAACGCUCCUACAAAGAAGCCAGAUCGUGCCCCCGGCCAGGGAGCGCUUCCCCGCCGGCGAACGUGUGUCUUCCAACUCGCCGUCUCCUUCUCCUCCCACCAGGCCUCCCAAAGCCAUGGCAGCGACGGGGCUCAACGCGUACGCGCGGCCAUACAGCCGCCGCUCCGCCCGCGCCCACCACGCUCCGCCAAAGCCCCACCCUUUCAUGACGCCGGAGUACCACGGCGACGCCGGCUACCCGCCACCUUUCCCCCUCGCCGCCAACUACUCCCGCGCCACCUUCCCCGAGCACCACUACCCCGGCCCCCUCCCGCCGCGGCCCUUCUUCCCCGAGCACGUCGCCGCGCCGCGUCACCACGGCCGUCCGCGCGGGCCCGUGUUCGAUCCUGAGAAGCUGUACGCGCAGGUGAUGCACAGCUUCAACUACAAGCACACGGCGCGAGCGGCCGCGGCCGGGAAGGGCAAGGGAGGAGGACCCGCGACUCGCCGUCUCCUGCCGGCGGCUCCGCCGUGCGGGCCGCGGGGGCAGCGGGCCAGGGGCAGGAGCAAGGUGUACGUGCCGGCCGCGCGUGGCGGAGGGCGGGAGAGGUCGCCGUCGCCGGCGCUCACGAGGCGGAGGGCGUGGCCGGUGCCCCCGCCGGCCUGGGCCUGGCACGGCCGCAGCCGCACCACCGUCAUGAUCCGCAACAUCCCCAACAAGCUCACCCGCCCCUCGAUGAUGAAGCUGCUGGACGACCACUGCGCCCGCGUGAACAGGCGGCGCGGCCCCGGCGCCGUGCCCGCCGCGUACGAUUUCCUCUACCUGCCCAUGGAUUUCAGCAGGCAGCGCUGCAGCAACAAGGGGUACGCCUUCGUCAACUUCACGACGGCGGAGGCGGCGCGCGGGCUGCACUACGCCCUGCACGGCCGCGGCUGGCACCGCUCGCUCGGCAGCGGCAAGAUCAUCAACAUCGGCGCCGCCUACAUGCAGGGCAGGCACAGGCUGGUGAGGCACUUUAGCCGGUCCACCUUCGCGUGCCACACCGACGAGUACCUCCCGGCCCUCUUCUCGCCGCCGCGCGACGGCGCCGCCGACCCGCCCCCGGCCGAGCCCAUGCACCUCGGCCGACGUGUCCCUCCGCGCGUCUCCCCCGCCGUCCAGCCGGCGGCACCGGAGCAGCAGCUGGUGUGGGUGCGUCGAGGCGAGGUCACGAGCUAG
Molecule: ribosomal RNA, 1233 nt
Filed under: Triticum aestivum (bread wheat)
Lineage: Eukaryota; Viridiplantae; Streptophyta; Magnoliopsida; Poales; Poaceae
Description: partial small subunit ribosomal RNA
Source: RNAcentral